UGUCCACAGGAACAUGGAGAGAGGGGUCCAACCGAAGACGGGCUUUUGCUACAAUACAAGGGUUUGGCUCCAGUACCACUUCUUUUAUGACCAAGGGAGCCAAACCUUCCUACUAACUACUGUAAUAAAUAGAUGAGGGAGAGAGAGAGAGAGAGAGAAUAAAGCUAACCCUUGGGUCCCCUGCCUAUAAAUUUAGUGUAAAAAUGCUAUGUUCAUGUAGUUGUCAUCUUACCCGACGCUCAUACAGAUCAUAAGGAGAAGAAGGAAAAAUGGAAGGUGCUCCAGGACGACAAGAGAUGUCAUACUAUGAUCAUGUCCAAAAACGCCGUGAGGAGAAAGGAUGCCUCUAUGCUUGUUUGUUCACGUUGUGUUGCUGCUUUUGCUGCGCUGAGUGUUGCGAGUGCUGCUUGGAGAGUAUCUGCUGUUGUUGCUCCUAAGAAGAUGUGGGAAUCAGUAGAGCAAAUAAUACUAUGAAAAAUUAAAGUUAUUGCUACUUAGCAUCUUUUUCUUGUAUGGCAAUCGAAUGCAAUUCUAUUAAACUCUCUGUUGUGAGGGUGUCUUGUAUUGCAAGGGCCUGUUGCUGUACCAUGUAAAAACCAGAAAGAGAAAGAGGUGUGCCAAUGAAAAAAGUUCAAUUUUAUUUGAAAAAAAUGGGCCACAAAUUAGAUUUA
Alnus glutinosa is the source of this 671-nucleotide long non-coding RNA. RefSeq lists it as uncharacterized. The transcript has 2 exons. The record is from RefSeq and is a predicted model, not a curated record. Lineage: Eukaryota; Viridiplantae; Streptophyta; Magnoliopsida; Fagales; Betulaceae.